RNAcentral lists this ribosomal RNA (349 nucleotides) under Clostridioides difficile. RNAcentral describes it as "bacterial SSU rRNA". It matches the Rfam family "Bacterial small subunit ribosomal RNA", at positions 181 to 549 of the family's 1533-position model. Lineage: Bacteria; Bacillati; Bacillota; Clostridia; Peptostreptococcales; Peptostreptococcaceae. The record is from RNAcentral.
UUGAGAGGCAUCUCUUAAAUAUCAAAGGUGAGCCAGUACAGGAUGGACCCGCGUCUGAUUAGCUAGUUGGUAAGGUAACGGCUUACCAAGGCGACGAUCAGUAGCCGACCUGAGAGGGUGAUCGGCCACAUUGGAACUGAGACACGGUCCAAACUCCUACGGGAGGCAGCAGCGGGGAAUAUUGCACAAUGGGCGAAAGCCUGAUGCAGCAACGCCGCGUGAGUGAUGAAGGCCUUCGGGUCGUAAAACUCUGUCCUCAAGGAAGAUAAUGACGGUACUUGAGGAGGAAGCCCCGGCUAACUACGUGCCAGCAGCCGCGGUAAUACGUAGGGGGCUAGCGUUAUCCGGA